UAGUACGUUGCGCAUGUGGGUUGAGACAGCCAGUAGACAUCGGUGUAAAUCUAUAGCGCAGUGGCAGCGCACUGCUUGGCGCUUUACCUCACGUCGUUGUUGUCCCCUCCACCUUCAACUGUCUCCCUUCCUCUGCGCCGUCUGCGGUGUCAAGGCAGCGGGAGAAGGGGGGGUAUGAGAUAUACGCUUCUCGUCGAAGUCUGGCACCUGUCAUUUGGGUAGAGAAGUGCAUGGGGUGAUUUUACAAUGUUACGUCAGGGAAAGUAAGAAACCAAACGCGCAGUGCACGGAGCUCAGUAGAAGUCUGAACGAAACAAUAACAUGUCAAGAUCUUUGCGUAACCUGUACUGUGUUUUGGGAAAACAAGCGCGUGAUAUUGGUUUUAGAUGUGUGUGCUCUCCGAAAUUAAACAGCGGCAGCUUUCGUAGACAUUAUAUUAACACUUUCCUGAACUGUGAAACCAACCCCCGAGCAUGUGUUCAAGCAAAAAGAUCAAAGUCAAGCUUAAAGCCGACUACUGAUAUUUCAUUUGCUGCACGAUCGACAGCUUCAAAUGAGAGCGAGAGGGACCAGUUUUUGGCUGUUUUUCCUCACAUUGUUAAAGACUUAACAGAUGCUGGGUUUGGUUCUGAGAUAUCAGAAGCAAAGGAACGGUUUGCAAAGGUCCUUCAUUAUAAUGUCCCUGGUGGUAAGAUGUCACGAGGGUUAGCAGUUGUGCAAGCUUAUCGUUUGCUUACUAAAGACAGUCUGCAUAGUGCAGAAAAUGUAUUCUUGGCCCACGUUAUGGGAUGGUGUGUGGAAAUGUUGCAAGCAUUUUUCAUUGUUCUUGAUGAUAUCAUGGACAAAUCAGCUACAAGGCGUGGAAGAACUUGCUGGUACCUCCAUGAUGACGUUGGCUUAUCGGCAGUUAAUGAUGGCUUACUGCUAGAGAGUGGAAUUUAUGAGUUACUUCGAAGAUAUUUUCAGGACAAAUCGUACUAUAUUGAAAUCCUCAAUCUCUUUCACGAUGUUACCUUCAAAACAACAGUAGGACAGUCUCUUGAUCUCUUGACUUCACAAGCAGGAAAGAAUCCAGAUUAUACCAAAUUCACAAUGGAUCAGUACAAUGCAGUUGUAAAAUACAAGACAGCAUAUUAUUCGUUCUAUUUACCUGUUGCACUAGCAAUGUACAUGGUGCCAGUGUGGUCGUGCUCUGUCCUGUUGAAAAAUGAAAUUUUCACCAUGCUUGUUGCUGUGUUAUUGGCACCUCAACCCGGUGCACAAUGGAUAAUAAAUGAUUCAGCUAGCUGCAUCAGAGAGACCCCUAUCAGCAGGAGGAUGAACCAAGGCUGGAUUAAAGAAACCUGAAGCACACAAUCAGGCUAAAGCAGUACUACUAGAAAUGGGACACUUCUUCCAGGUCCAGGAUGACUAUUUGGAUUGUUUUGGUGAUUCUGAUGUUACUGGAAAGGUUGGAAGUGAUAUUGCCACAGGAAAAUGCUCAUGGCUGGCUGUGACAGCUCUGCAACGAGCAAACCAUCAACAGCAAAUAGUGUUUAAG
Molecule: unclassified non-coding RNA, 1540 nt
Filed under: Schistocerca americana (American grasshopper)
Lineage: Eukaryota; Metazoa; Arthropoda; Insecta; Orthoptera; Acrididae
Description: farnesyl pyrophosphate synthase-like, transcript variant X1
Source: RNAcentral